UACGGGGGGAGCAAGCGUUGUUCGGAUUUACUGGGCGUAAAGGGCGCGUAGGCGGCCAGCACAAGUCAGUUGUGAAAUCUCCGAGCUUAACUCGGAAAGGUCAACUGAUACUGUGCGACUAGAGUGCGGAAGGGGCAACUGGAAUUCUCGGUGUAGCGGUGAAAUGCGUAGAUAUCGAGAGGAACACCUGCGGCGAAGGCGGGUUGCUGGGCCGACACUGACGCUGAUGCGCGAAAGCCAGGGGAGCGAACGGG
Molecule: ribosomal RNA, 254 nt
Filed under: uncultured bacterium
Lineage: Bacteria
Description: partial 16S ribosomal RNA
Rfam family: Bacterial small subunit ribosomal RNA
Source: RNAcentral